GACGAACGCUGGCGGCGUGCCUAAUACAUGCAAGUCGAGCGAGUCUGCCUUGAAGAUCGGAGUGCUUGAACUCUGUGAAACAAGAUACAGGCUAGCGGCGGACGGGUGAGUAACACGUGGGUAACCUGCCCAAGAGAUCGGGAUAACACCUGGAAACAGAUGCUAAUACCGGAUAACAACAGAUGAUGCCUAUCAACUGUUUAAAAGAUGGUUCUGCUAUCACUCUUGGAUGGACCUGCGGUGCAUUAGCUAGUUGGUAGGGUAACGGCCUACCAAGGCGAUGAUGCAUAGCCGAGUUGAGAGACUGAUCGGCCACAUUGGGACUGAGACACGGCCCAAACUCCUACGGGAGGCAGCAGUAGGGAAUCUUCCACAAUGGACGCAAGUCUGAUGGAGCAACGCCGCGUGAGUGAAGAAGGGUUUCGGCUCGUAAAGCUCUGUUGUUGGUGAAGAAGGACAGGGGUAGUAACUGACCUUUGUUUGACGGUAAUCAAUUAGAAAGUCACGGCUAACUACGUG
This 519-nucleotide ribosomal RNA is filed under the name uncultured bacterium. Its description in RNAcentral is "partial 16S ribosomal RNA". It matches the Rfam family "Bacterial small subunit ribosomal RNA", at positions 28 to 507 of the family's 1533-position model. The record is from RNAcentral.